GGGAAGACCUGGCGGAAGUGAGGAGGAGCUUGGAACUCAGCUGUAAGGAGCUGAUUCAUGGCGGGCUUCCAUUGCGUCUUCUUUGAAGGCCCCGACCCCCGAGCUCAGCAUUGAGGAGUAAAGAUGCCCCGUCAGGAAUUGAAUCUCUUGCCACCCCUCGAGCCCGCCCGCCCGCCCUCGGCGCGUCUGGCUAACAUCCUCGCAGCUUGAAACGCGUACGCUUGAUAUUCAUUUUGCACGGAUGAGCGCGUCUGUCAAUAGCGGGAAGCGUAACUCUGUCUUCCAGACCGGCGUAAGCAUUCGCAGGUGACGCUCCCCUCUUGGCCCGUGCUUCAAUUCCCUGGCGGCGCGCCGUGCAAUGCGUGCUGGCUGGCUGCAAGCAAAGGAGAAGAAAGGGCUGUGUUCCAUUCGUGUGAAUUUCCAAAUGGCAGCAGGUGAAGACGGUCUGCAAAGACAUCUGUACUUUAUAUUCACCUUGUGAUCAUGAACACAUUUCUUGGAAUUCUUCAGCUCUGAUGUUGCAAUCGAAUGCAUUUUUGUGUCUGUUGUAAGACAUUUCAUCGUCUGGAGUUCAUAUGGAUUUGAUGAACUAAGUGGAAUACCGAUUCUGUUGUUGUCGCAUUCAUUAUAUUUAUUCAAUGUAUAUAUUUGGAUCAAUUCAAUUACUUGAGUGAGUAUUACAUUUUUGGGGAAUUAUCAUUUUCAUGAAAUAAUCAGAAUGGCAUUUUAUUUGUUUUAUUUUUAUUCUGAGCGUAUUACUCUAGGCAUGACAGCAUCAUAAAAAUGUCAUUCAUUCAUUGCUACUUUAAAAUAACACAGAAGUAAAGAAAUACUUUGCUUUU
Syngnathus acus (greater pipefish) is the source of this 842-nucleotide long non-coding RNA. RefSeq lists it as uncharacterized. The transcript is spliced from 2 exons. The record is from RefSeq and is a predicted model, not a curated record. NCBI's taxonomy places the organism in Eukaryota, Metazoa, Chordata, Actinopteri, Syngnathiformes, Syngnathidae.